AGACGUCUACAUUAGAUACCCCGGUAGUCCUAGCCGUAAACGAUACUCGCUAGGUGUCGGCCACGGUGCGACCGUUGUCGGUGCCGUAGGGAAGCCGUGAAGCGAGCCACCUGGGAAGUACGGCCGCAAGGCUGAAACUUAAAGGAAUUGGCGGGGGAGCACAACAACGGGUGGAGCUUGUGGUUUAAUUGGAUUCAACGCCGGAAAUCUUACCGGGACCGACAGCAACAUGAAGGCCAAGCUGAAGACUUUGCCGGAUUAGCUG
RNAcentral lists this ribosomal RNA (265 nucleotides) under uncultured archaeon. RNAcentral describes it as "partial 16S ribosomal RNA". It matches the Rfam family "Archaeal small subunit ribosomal RNA", at positions 717 to 982 of the family's 1478-position model. The record is from RNAcentral.